GGCCCUGUGGGCAAACUGGCAAAGCCGGCAAGUUCAAAACUUGUUAUCUAAUUGCAGGUUCGACUCCUGCCAGGGCUA
RNAcentral lists this transfer RNA (78 nucleotides) under Marinobacter sp. RNAcentral's name for it is "tRNA-Leu". It matches the Rfam family "tRNA". Rfam says of the family: Transfer RNA (tRNA) molecules are approximately 80 nucleotides in length. The record is from RNAcentral. Lineage: Bacteria; Pseudomonadati; Pseudomonadota; Gammaproteobacteria; Pseudomonadales; Marinobacteraceae.